CCUACGGGAGGCAGCAGUGAGGAAUAUUGGUCAAUGGACGAGAGUCUGAACCAGCCAAGUAGCGUGAAGGAUGACUGCCCUAUGGGUUGUAAACUUCUUUUAUAUGGGAAUAAAACGUUCCACGUGUGGGAUUUUGUAUGUACCAUAUGAAUAAGGAACGGCUAACUCCGUGCCAGCAGCCGCGGUAAUACGGAGGAUCCGAGCGUUAUCCGGAUUUAUUGGGUUGAAAGGGAGCGUAGGUGGAUUGUUAAGUCAGUUGUGAAAGUUUGCGGCUCAACCGUAAAAUUGCAGUUGAAACUGGCAGUCUAGAGUACAGUAGAGGUGGGCGGAAUUCGUGGUGUAGCGGUGAAAUGCUUAGAGAUCACGAAGAACUCCGAUUGCGAAGGCAGUUCACUGGACUGCAACUGACACUGAGGCUCGAAAGUGUGGGUAUCAAACAGGAUUAGAUACCCUUGUAGUC
This 460-nucleotide ribosomal RNA is filed under the name uncultured bacterium. RNAcentral's name for it is "partial 16S ribosomal RNA". It matches the Rfam family "Bacterial small subunit ribosomal RNA", at positions 338 to 795 of the family's 1533-position model. The record is from RNAcentral.